Molecule: RNA transcript, 808 nt
Organism: Gekko japonicus
Lineage: Eukaryota; Metazoa; Chordata; Lepidosauria; Squamata; Gekkonidae
Gene: IFT22
Gene name: intraflagellar transport 22
Exons: 6
Source: RefSeq, a predicted model, not a curated record
CGCCGCGUCGUCGCUGAGUUGGGCGGAGUCGGCUGGAUCAGUCUGCCCGUCUGUGCUCGGGUCAGGUUUGUACGCGAGGCCGAGGCUUGCGCGGCCUCUUCGGAAGGGAUGCUAAAAGUAAAGAUCCUCUUCGUUGGCCCCAGCGAGGUUGGAAAAUCUGUUUUGGCAAACUUCCUGUCGGAGAGCACAGAGGGCAUCGGCAGCUACAUCCCAACGCAAGGGGUGAGGAUUCUGGAAUAUGAGAAGCCCCAUAUCAAUGAAAACAGCAAAGGCACAGAGUAUCGGUUUGAAUUGUGGGACUGUGGAGGUGACCCAAAGUUUGAGGCCUGCUGGCCAGCUCUGAUGAAGGAUUCCCAUGGUGUUGUCAUAGUCUUCAACCCAGACUUGCCCAGUCACCUGAAAGAAAUCGAGACGUGGUAUUCCUGUUUUGUCCAGCAGCAGCAGCUCCUCGAUAGCCAGUGCCUACUCAUUGCGCACCACAAGCCUGGCAGUGGAGGAGACACAGAGAACUUCACCUUGCCUUCGCCCUUGAACAGGCUGCAUCUGAUACAUUCCAGUCUCGAAGAAGAACCCGAGGAUGUCCGGAUGGAAUUUGUGAAGUAUCUUAAGAGCAUUAUCAAUUGGAUGAACGAGAACCGAGACAAAGAAGAGAUGUCGAUUAUCACAUGAAAGAUAGAGAUGUUUUUUGGUGGAACAGAAAAGAACUGCUCCAAAAAGAGAGGGGAGGAGAGAACCCCAACCCAAAAGAAGUCUGAAACUAAUGCCCUGACGGCCAAUUGGAACUCAGAUGAGAUCUCGCUUGUAUAGU